This 293-nucleotide signal recognition particle RNA is filed under the name Colobus angolensis palliatus. RNAcentral's name for it is "Metazoan signal recognition particle RNA (ENSCANG00000008003.1)". It matches the Rfam family "Metazoan signal recognition particle RNA". Rfam says of the family: The signal recognition particle (SRP) is a universally conserved ribonucleoprotein. It is involved in the co-translational targeting of proteins to membranes. The eukaryotic SRP consists of a 300-nucleotide 7S RNA and six proteins: SRPs 72, 68, 54, 19, 14, and 9. The record is from RNAcentral. Lineage: Eukaryota; Metazoa; Chordata; Mammalia; Primates; Cercopithecidae.
GCUAGGUUUGGUGGCACACACCUACAGCCCCAGCUACUUGGGAGGCUGAAGCAGGAGGAUCCCUAGAGCCCAGGAAUUCUGGGCUGUGGUGCACUAUGCCGGUUGGGUGUAAGUUUGGCAUCAAUAUGGUGAUCUCCCUGAAGCAGGAAACCACAAACUUGCCUAAGGAGGGGUGAACCCAGCCCAGAUUGGAAAUGGAGCAGGCCAAAACUCCCAGGCUGAUCAAUAAUGAGAUCUUGCCUAUGAAUAGCCAGUGCACUGCAGCCUGGGCAACAGAGUGAGAACCUGUCUUA